Molecule: ribosomal RNA, 438 nt
Filed under: denitrifying bacterium W93b
Lineage: Bacteria; Pseudomonadati; Pseudomonadota; Alphaproteobacteria
Description: bacterial SSU rRNA
Rfam family: Bacterial small subunit ribosomal RNA
Source: RNAcentral
UUUGAUCCUGGCUCAGAGCGAACGCUGGCGGCAGGCUUAACACAUGCAAGUCGAGCGGGCGUAGCAAUACGUCAGCGGCAGACGGGUGAGUAACGCGUGGGAACAUACCUUUUGGUUCGGAACAACACAGGGAAACUUGUGCUAAUACCGGAUAAGCCCUUACGGGGAAAGAUUUAUCGCCGAAAGAUUGGCCCGCGUCUGAUUAGCUAGUUGGUGAGGUAACGGCUCACCAAGGCGACGAUCAGUAGCUGGUCUGAGAGGAUGAUCAGCCACAUUGGGACUGAGACACGGCCCAAACUCCUACGGGAGGCAGCAGUGGGGAAUAUUGGACAAUGGGCGAAAGCCUGAUCCAGCCAUGCCGCGUGAGUGAUGAAGGCCCUAGGGUUGUAAAGCUCUUUUGUGCGGGAAGAUAAUGACGGUACCGCAAGAAUAAGCCCC